AACUAGCCCUGAUAGUAGCGGUUACCCCGCAAUAAGCAUGUGAGAGCCCGGGCUUGCCUACCGGAGUGGCCGGCAUGAGGAGUAGGAGCAGAUAGAAGGAAUAGCU
This 106-nucleotide unclassified non-coding RNA is filed under the name Chryseobacterium indologenes. Its description in RNAcentral is "Flavo-1 RNA". Lineage: Bacteria; Pseudomonadati; Bacteroidota; Flavobacteriia; Flavobacteriales; Weeksellaceae. The record is from RNAcentral.